This 226-nucleotide ribosomal RNA is filed under the name uncultured bacterium. RNAcentral's name for it is "partial 16S ribosomal RNA". It matches the Rfam family "Bacterial small subunit ribosomal RNA", at positions 538 to 763 of the family's 1533-position model. The record is from RNAcentral.
GCGUUAAUCGGAAUUACUGGGCGUAAAGCGUGCGCAGGCGGUCUUGCAAGACAGGUGUGAAAUCCCCGGGCUUAACCUGGGAACUGCACUAGUGACUGCAAGGCUGGAGUACGGCAGAGGGGGAUGGAAUUCCGCGUGUAGCAGUGAAAUGCGUAGAUAUGCGGAGGAACACCGAUGGCGAAGGCAAUCCCCUGGGCCUGUACUGACGCUCAUGCACGAAAGCGUG